UACGGAGGAUCCAAGCGUUAUCCGGAAUCAUUGGGUUUAAAGGGUCCGUAGGCGGUUUUGCAAGUCAGUGGUGAAAGCCCAUCGCUCAACGGUGGAACGGCCAUUGAUACUGCAAGACUUGAAUUACUAGGAAGUAACUAGAAUAUGUAGUGUAGCGGUGAAAUGCUUAGAUAUUACAUGGAAUACCAAUUGCGAAGGCAGGUUACUACUAGUGGAUUGACGCUGAUGGACGAAAGCGUGGGGAGCGAACAGG
Molecule: ribosomal RNA, 253 nt
Filed under: uncultured bacterium
Lineage: Bacteria
Description: partial 16S ribosomal RNA
Rfam family: Bacterial small subunit ribosomal RNA
Source: RNAcentral